This 14234-nucleotide long non-coding RNA is filed under the name Octopus vulgaris (common octopus). The stretch from base 1419 to 1490 matches the Rfam family "tRNA". Lineage: Eukaryota; Metazoa; Mollusca; Cephalopoda; Octopoda; Octopodidae. The record is from RNAcentral.
AAGCAGGCAUCAAAUGAUGAUGGUAAUAUGGCUAUUAACUAUCUCUGACUCAAUAAACUUAAAGGAAAAAAUGACAUGUGAAGUAUUUUUGUAGAAACUAAAAUACAGUGGUGGAAAUGUGCGUGUGAGAGAGAGAAAUAGCCUAAGUGAAUGUCUUAAAGUGCACCCUCUAAUACAUAUAUAUAUGUAUGUAUGGGUGUGCCCACACUCAUAUAAACAUGUAUAUAUAAUUUAUUUUUAAUGUAAACUUUAAAGGACUAGAUACCUCGUAAAUCUUAAAAUAACAUAUUUUCAAAGAAACCUGGGUCACUGGAGUUUUGAUUUUUAAGUUAAGCAUGAGGCUAGGUGUUUUGAAAAAUAGGGGGUUAGUUGACAUUAUUGUCAUCCUCUUCCUCAGUACUUGACUAGUAUUUUGUUAUCACCCUAGAACAAUGAAAGGCAAAAUUGACCUUGGUGGAAUUUGAACUUGGAACCAAGGGACAGGAUGUAAUGAAAUGCUGCAAAGUAUUUUGUCUGCUGCUCUAUGAGUCUACCUUUUAUAUAAUUAAUGUAACCCAUCUUUAAUCACUUGGUUUCUGAUAAGGACACAAACUUCAGAAAGGUGGAGACCUUAUUUCAUCACAUAUGGAAGGAUUAAGACCAAAGCUGACCUUGGUGAAAUUUUAAUUCAAAAUGUAAAUGGAAAAGACUAAAUAUAGCUUUUACUAAUUCUAAAAAGAAAAAAAAAAGACAUCAUCCUACCUCUAUAAUAAUAAAGGGAUAAGGCCUCAUUUGGAGGAGAAAGAGUCAAUUAAACAGCCCUACCACAGCCAUUUCAUUAUAUGUAUGCUGAUGUGCAGGAUAUGACGGUAUUGUUUAAGUGGUAGUGAUGUUAAACCAGAUCAAGAGUGGAUGCUGCCACUAAAGAGCUGCUGCUGCUGCCUAUCUGAUGUAUUAGUAUACAAUUUCUCCAACAAGGCUUGAGUUGAAGCAAGAUGCCAUGGGAUCAAACCACAUGAUUAUGUGACAAACAUCUUAUCCACACAGCCAUGUAUAGAUGUGUGCCUACAGAGAUAUUUGUGUAUGGAUAUAUGUAUGUGUGUGUGUCUGUGUGUAUAUAUAUAUACACACACACACACACAUAUAUAUAUAUAUAUAUAUAUAUACACAGAAAUAAAUUUUUUUUAUUCUCAAACACGUGAUAAUGCUAAUAAAAUAGCGUGAACAGGAUAAAAUAUCCAUACAUUGCAGAAAAAUACAUUACCAGCCAGCCAGCCAUGAGACUCAAACUCAUAUCCCUGUGCUUUACCAUUAAGCUAAACUGCCUAGUAACGAAUUCUUCUGCAAUUUUAGAACAUAUAAAUUUAGCUUUAUAAGAUGAGCAUUAGCAUCUUAUGAAGCUAAAUUUAUAAGUUCUAAAAUUGCAGAAUUCACUCCUGGGCAGUUUAGCUUAAUGGUAAAGCACUUGAUGCAUAAUCACAGGGAUGUGAGUUUGAGUCUCAUGGCUGGCCGAUAACAUAUUUUUCUGCAAUGUAUGGAUAAUUUAUCCUGUUUACGCUAUUUUAUUAGCAUUAUCAUGCAUUUGAGAAUAAAAAAAAUUUUUUUCUGUAUCUUUCAAUACAUCUCAACACUUCUAAAACAAACUAUAUAUAUAUGCACACAUCUGCAUACAAGUGUGUGUGUGUGUGUGUGCACAUCUACAAGGUGUCCCCCCAAAAUGCAUAUACACUUUAAGCACUGAUAACUCAAUUUUCAUUCCAUUUUAGAUUUAGUCCAGAAUAAAUAAUGGAGGAAGCUAGACUAAGCUUUGAACAAAGGACAUUUAACCUAAAGUGCUACUGGAAAUUUAAAAGGGCAAAAAUAGUUUAAGAGGGAGUUUCAAACAGACUAACCAACGCGAUUACAAUACCUUCAUAUUAGAUGUGUUUGAAAGCAGAUGAAACUGUUCAGAAGAUUCACUAAGAACAUUCUAGAAGACUGCAAACACCAAUAAUCCCCACAAAACAAGGAAAGAUACUAGAAGCAUUGCCAGAAUUUUAAAAAAAUCUGUGCAGCAAGUGAGUUGUGACAAAGGAAUUUUAAAAUCAAGCAUCCAUUGCAUUUUGAAGUGCUGUCAUGGGACAAGUUACAAUUCAAGAAAAGCCCAUGCUCUCAAUGAAGAUGAUCUGGACAGAAUAGAGUUUUCCAAGUGACACUUGAAAAAGUGCUCACUUUCCAGCAAAGUUUGUUUGGAGUGGCUGCAGGGGAAAUACAUAGCCAAAGAUAAACCUCUGUACUUGGCUUUUGUUGACUUGGAGAAAGCCUUAUCUGGUGAUCAAUGCAAAAACUGGGGAUAGACGAGUGGUUAGAGCUGUACAUGCCAUGUACAGGGACACUAUCAGUAAGGUGGGGAUUAGCAAUGAGUACAGUGAGGAAUUCAGGGUGCAGGUAGGGGCUCACCAAGGAUCAGUCCUCAGCCCCACCUUGUUCAUCAUAGUCCUCCAGGCAGUAAGAAAGGAAUUUCAGAGAGACUACCCCUGGGAGCUCCUCUAUGCUGAUGACCUUGUUUUUAUAGCCAGAUCACUACCAGAACUACAAAAGUUUCAGGUAUGGAAGCAGGGUCUAGAAUCAAAGAGCCUUGGAGUUAACCUAGCAAAAACCAAAGUUUUAGUAAGUAGGAAGGCAGAGAAAUCACAAAUCCCUUCAGGUAGGUGGCCUGCUCAAUCUGUAGAAAAGGCAUAGGAAGAAACUCUAUGAGAUGUACCUGGUGUAAGAUAUGGACACAAGAAGAGCAGCAAUAUCAAAAGAAGGUUAACAGAUAAAAUAGCUUUUGUGUGUGGAAGAUGCACAGGUAUAAUAAACACUGAGAAUGUACAGAAAAUAGACUCCAUCCACUGCCAGUGGGGUAAGCUAGAAGUAGUAGAUAGAUUCCAUUACCUAGGUGACCAACUUAACACGGAGGUAGAUGCUCCAAGAGCAUAGCUGUGAGAAGAAGAAUAGGCUAGGCAAAGUUCAGAGAUCUACCUCUGCUAGCAACAAAGGGCCUCCCAGCUCAGAGUAAAAGGCAGAUUGUGUGAUGCCUGUGUGCAAACAGCUAUACUACGCGGCAGUGAAAUAUGGGCUGUGACAGCCAAGGAAAUGUGUAGGCUUGAGGGAAAUGAAGCCAGCAUGUUUCACUGGAGAUGCAAUAUCAGUGUGCAUGUUUGACAGAGUGUAAGCAUCUUUAGAAAAAAGUUGGGCAUAAGAGGCAUCAGAUGUGGUAUGCAAGAGAGAUGACUGCACUGGUAUGGUCAUGUGAUGCAUCUGGACGAGGAUAGCUGUGUAAAGAAGUGCUGAUUUAUAAUUAUGAAGAGAACCCGUAGUAGCGGUAGACCCAGAAACUUUGAGCUUCACAGAGGCAACAACUAGUGACCAAGACCUUUGACGAUAUACUGUGCUUGAGAAGACUUGCCAAGCCAAGUGAAAUCAUUAUGGUCAAUGUUGGUGUUGUACAAUUGGCACCUUUGCCAGUGACACAAAAAGUGCCUUUUAAGUGUUGGCCUCACAGAGGCAAAGUGGUCGAUGCUGGUGGCAUGUGAAAAACUCCUUUCAAGUGUCAGGUGUCACAGAGGCAAUGACGAAUGACCGAGACCUUUGGCAUUAUAUCAUGCUUGAGAAGAAAACCCAUCAAGCCAAGUAAAAUCACAGUUAUGGCAUAUAUUGGUGUCACACAAAUGGCACCUGAGCCAGAGGCAUGUAAAAAAUGUGCCUGUUACAAUCUUGGAGUGGUUGACUCCAGCCAUAGAAACCAUGCCAAAUCAGGUUGGAGUCUGGUGCAGCCUUCCAGCUUGCCAGUCCUGGUUAAACCAUCCAACCCAUGCCAGCAUGGACAACAGGUCAUCAUCAUAUUCAUCAUUUAACAUCCAUUUUCCAUAUAUAUAUAUAUAUAUAUAUAUAUAUAUAUCAAUUUUAUGAGUAGAUGUACAUAAAUAUACUGCAGGUAAUGAACUACAGAGAUAUACUGGAAAUAUCAAAGAAGUUGGAGAUAUUUUUCUCCAAAGACGAUGGCCAAUGUUUGGCAUUGAGAACUAAACAAAUCCCUCAAGUUGAAACUGUUGCUUUAUACUAAAUGUCCCAUUAUUUCUAUACAGAAAUAGAACCAGGUACUGUAAUAUAAAGUUCAAAGGACCAUAGCUUUCCUUCAGCUAAAAAGGAAGUCGUUUUUGUAUUGACAUCCAUCACCUGAGUAGUUGUGAAGAUAUUCAACCAACAAACAGACAUUUUCUAUGUUAUAUCUCAAGACAACAGUAACCUCAAACAUUGUUGUUCACUAAAUACCAUCUCGUAAACAAAAGCUGUUGGAAUAUUAAUGAUGAUGCUCCAGCAUGAUCCCAGGUUGAAAGUAGUAAACAUAUGUACAUGCACAUAUUUAUAUGCAAACCUUAACACAUAUACAUAUGUAUAUGGGUAUAUAUAUAGAGUGCAAAGGAUAUUUAAGCGCAGUUAUCAGUAUAUUACUCUCUUCAAACCAGGUAAAAGGUUUUUAUUUUAAUCAGAUCUCUCAUGGUAAGUAAAAUGCUAAUGAAAAGACAUGCAGUCAUUAUUGUUAUGUGUGCAGAAAACAGUGAUUCAGAAAUGGCCAACUGGAUGCUUUUAGUGAGGUCACGAUGCAAGCUGCAUGACUACAAACCCCAAGAGAAGCAGCUUCAUGCAAGGAAAUGAAAGGUUAAAGCAUAAUGGUGGGCUGAAAAGUUCAUAGGCUGACUAUGAAGGAGUGACACUAGAGCUGUGAAAUCUUGUAGGCAUUAAUUUCAACUCUUCCAAUUGAUAAUUACAUUGUUAUUCUUUAGGUAAACUGUGCUGUUCAAAGAAGAUUGUCAUGUGAAGGAGGGAAAACAAAGAAUUGCAGUAGUUUUACCUGUCAAUGUGGCAGGGUCACUCACAACGUCCACAUGCUGUCUCAAUCUGGAAGGUUCACUUACAACGUCCAUGUGCUCUAUCUGCCAUUGUACGGUCUAACAUAUCUGCUCUCAUACGCUGUCCACCGCCAACUGACUGCUCACCUCGCCUCCCCCCACACACACACCUGCAUGCCCACCACAGCCUUUCCAGUGGGACCCACAGGCCCUGCUUACAAGAGAACAUGCAUACUCCUUCACUUCCGGUCCUUUCCAACAACACAGCCUGGCUCAUAACACCACAUGCCCCCUUGAUCUGAAGAUCAUUCAACCAACCUACCCACACCCUCUCCUCAACCCUGACCACAUACCUUAACUUGUCUCAUAAUCAGCCAACCAGUAAGGAGGGCCAUGCUCCUUCUGCGUCUGCCAUAGGACUUCAGGACUGGCCUCAGUUCCUGGCAUGUUGCUGCCGGCUUCGUCCUCUUGUCUAUUACUGUUGGCUCCAUCCUCCAUCUCAGUGAUGAUCCUGCGCAGAUCCAAAAUAUGUGGCAUGACAUCUACGGACACAAUGUUCCUUGAAUUUACAGAGGUUAUUGUCCCCUUUCCCCAUUGUCAUGUGCACUGCGCAUUUGGGGGUUUAACCCAAACUUCUUCCCCGACCUGCACAAUGGCAUGUCUCUUCUGCAGGUUGCAGCGAUGCAGUACAUAGAUGUCUCCACUCAUACUUGAAUAUUGCCUUGUGUCACACUGACUCCUCAGCCUUUCCUGACUUGAGCGACAUAUAAUACCAAAAAAUGGCCUCGACAAGUGAGAUGUGGCCCCUCUCUGCUAUGGUCUUGAUAGUGCGAUGAUACCUCACCACAACCCCAUUGCCACUUGGUCAGUAUGCCACCCAGAAGAGACGGCUAACAUGCCAUUUGUUGAGCAUUUCCCCCAGUACCUCCAAGCAAAAUGCAGUGCCAUUGUCCACAAGCAGCUCAUUCAUGGGGCCUCAUUCUAGGAAUAUCUAAUUUAGUAUUCUUGUGAUUUCUGCAGUCCCUGUCUUCAUCUCCCUCAAUAUGGCAACCACCCCAGUCUGCAGUCAACCAUCAAGAGGUAUGCCCCCUACCAGUAGUGUAUCACAUCCACUGCCAGUCGUUUCCAGUUGUGUUCCACUGGAAUGCUUCCUACCUCAUGCAUGCCCUGAGCGGAGUCAAUGCUCCCAACUACUCUCUGCCUGGUCACGUCAGAGUCAAAUUUCCUGGCUAGGAACAGGGUCCUAUCCACCCCCAUGUGAUGCAUGGUAUGCAGUCUCCUCAGCUCUGAGUCACUCAGUUGACACACUGCAGCCACUCCUUGCUCCAGAUCCUCCAGCACCUGCAAUCAGGCUUUAUUUACUCUGGUCAGGGCAUCCGCUCUAUUCCUUUCAGAGGGCACAAAAACCACACUCAGCCUCAGGUCAAACUCGGCAGCUAGCUCAUCCACGAUUCCCAAGCAGCAUAUUAUCAGCAUCUCUGCACCCCUCUUUGGUUUGCACCCUCCUCUCGCCAGUGACCACUGAUCCCACCCAUCUAAGUACAGUGGCUGAAUCAGUCCAGAUCUCGAUGGUACACAGCCCCUACCUCAGGGCCAGAUUCAGUCCCUUCAACAUGGCAUCCAGCCCAGGCAUAUUGAUGUGGUUGCAGUCAUCCUUCUUCCUGAGCCAGGCUGCAUUCUCCACCACAAUACCUUCAAUUUCCAGAACAACUCCCAUUGCUAUGCUGCUGGCAUCAUAUCACACGAUACCAUUCUUCAAUUUGGGCACAUACCAGUUUCCUCUUACUGGGUCCACUGCUGUCACUCUCUCUAAAGACUUUUUGCAUCAUGGCAAUUGUCUUCUUGCCCACAUUGUCACUCCACCUCAUUCCUCCAGCUCACCUCUUGAUGAAGCUGCAUGCCAUCCUGCAAUUGGGUAGUGUCCCAGCAGCUUCCCACACACAGAAAACAGUUCUUGCCUACUUUUCUUGGAGCCCAGUUCUGGGAUUUCAUUUCCUCUCCGAAACACCAAUGUGCCAGCCUUGUCUCUCUGUAGCUUGAGUCCCAAUGCAGCUCCUAUCGCCUCCAGCAGUUUGGCAGUUAGCCCAAAACUCUUCAAGUGACUUAUGGCCUCCUUUGCUGACGCUAUGCUUUCAUCCACCAGGAUGUCAUCAAUAUAGGAAUUGAUGGCUCUUUUCACUUUGUCUGCCUUUCCCAGGAUGGUUCUGAGAAUCAUCGCCAAUCUUCAAUGCUGAAUUUACCUUGAAUCCCAACCUGGUCAGGCAGUAUGUCUGACCCUUAUACCUUACAAACUGAUAUUUCCACAGUCAUUCAACCACCUCCAAAGUUAAGCAGCCCAUGUCUACAAGGGCUUGAGACACUUUUCCAUUCAUCAUGACAUUUAUGACUGGCAACAACUGUAUACAAGCCCCCUUGCAGUCUCUCACCAUGUGUGAACCCUGACACCCUUUGAACGGUCACACAUGUUCCUUGUUUGACUCCUUCUCAUUGUUGCAGUUGCUGGUAAAGGUGUCAUCCUGCAACACAAGAUGAUGACUCUGGCCUGAGAUAUUACCUCUCCCAUUGCCAUGGAGUGAAUAUUCGGCAGCUUUUGCAGUUCGACCGACCCGUGAUCAGGAAAUCUUGUCACAAAUGCUAAUGUAACUGUUUGUUCCAAUGUGUCAUCCCUGUAUCCCACAAAUCUGGCCAAUCUCCUGAUUUCGUUGGCAAACACAUCAACCAGUUCACUCAUCCACUUCGCUUUCCCCAGUCGACUAUAUACCAUAAAUGACCCUUCUGUAAUAGCCUCCAUCAGCCAGACCUCUUUUUUUUGUGUGUGUUUAACUGGUCCUUCUCCUUCAUUUCCAGGUAUAGCACCAAUGCUGAUCCAUCGAGGUACAAUGGUAUGAAACUCAUUAGGUCAUCUAUACCAUGGAGUCUUGCCACCAAAUUAAUUUUUUGCAACCAAGUGGCAAAUGUCUCCCUUGCUACAAAAUGACCUAACCGUUUCAUUUGAAACACAAACCACACCCAUCAUUUUUUGUGUUUUUUAGUGGUUUUUUUUUGAGCUGAAAUAGCUUGUGAUGUGAAGGAGGAAAAAGACAGAAGCAAAGAGAGAAUUGCGGUAGUCUAACUUGCCCAUCUGGAAGGGUCACUCACAACGUCCACAUGCUCUGUCUCGAUCUAGAAGGUUCACUCACAACAUCCACGUGGUCCAUCAGCCGCUGUACUGUCUAACACAUCUGCUCUCAUACACUGUCCACUGCCAACUGACUGCUCGUGCCUCGCUGACCCUACAUUCUCACCACAACUCUUCCGGUGGGACCCACAGAUCCCACUUCCAACAAGACUUCUAGUCCUUCCCUACAACACAGCCUGGUUCAUAACAUCACAAAGAUUUCAAAACUAACUAGUAGCAACUUAUCUUGAAAGUGGACAGAAUUUGCCACCAUUGUGUUAUCAAAUACCUGCAGAAAAAGGGUUUAGCCUUUCCUCCCUCACCAAGGACAUUCAUGCUGACAUGGUCACUACAUUAGAGGAUGAUGUUUCAGCUUCAUCAACAGUGCAAAAGAAGGCAGCUGAAUUUAGGAAGGGAAGGGAAAGUUUUGAAGAUGACCCAAGGUCUGGAUGUCCUGCAACUGCCACCAUUGUGGUGAUGGAUGGCAGGCAAUUGACUAGAAAUCAAACAGCCAAUGCUAUUGGUACAUCCCACGAGAGAGUUGAGAAUAUUCUGCACAAUGAAGUUGUUUCUACUUAGUGGGUGCCACAUCUUCUGACACCUGAUCAAAAGCACACCAAGCUCAUCACAUUACAGGAAAAUCUUAUAUUGUUUGAACCAGAUCCAGCUGGUUUCCUUGAAUGUUUCCUAAGCCAGGAUGAGUGUCAGGUUCAUCACUUUGAGCUAGAGACAAUCCAUGCAAUGGAAAUGCCUCUCUUCACCUGCUCCAAAGAAGGCCAAAGUCGUUUCAUCUGCAGGGAAGGUGAUAGCCUCAUUUUUUGGGGGAUGCAAAAGGCAUUGUGUUUAUUGAAUAUCUUCAAAAGGGCUACACCAUCAAUGGAGAGGCCUAUGCCAAGUUGCUGAGGCAAUUAUGAAAAGCUAUCAAGGCCAAAUGCCCAGGAAAACUGUUGAAAGGGGUCUUGUUUCAUCAGGACAAUGCUCCAGUACACAAGUCCUAGCUUUCAAUGGUUGCUGUGCCUGACUGUGGUUUUGAACUGGUUGAUUACACUCCUUAUUCUCUUGAUUUGGUCUCAUCUGACUAUCAUCUGUUCCCCAACAUGAAAAAACACUUGGCUGGGAACAUGUAUAAUUAUGUCAUUUCUACUGCUGAUGACAGUUUUGACCAAUAGGAUGAAAGUUUCUUUAUCAAAGGUAUCUAAGCACAGCAACACCAGUGGAAGAAGUGUGUGGACCACAAGGAUGGGGGGUGUAUUGAAAAAUAAACCUCAUUUGUCGCAUUCCAUGCGAGUAUCAUGUUACUAGUUACUUGUGAAGUCUUCUUUGAACAGUCAGAUGUCAGUUUAGCUGGAAAGAAACAAUGCAGUUAUUAAUAAGAAAACCUGAAAUUAAUGCAUGCAAGAUUUCACAGCUCUAGCUUCACUCCUUUUUGGUCAGCCUAUGAACUUUUCAGCCCUUUGCUCCACAUUACCAUCAUUAUCAUUGAUUCAAAAUUCACCUUACCACACAGAAUUUUGCUGAGGCAGAUUUUCUAUGAUCAGGUGCUCUUUCUGUUGCCAAGCCUCAUGUUUCUAGACAAGGUAAAUAUUUCACAGCUGAUUGGAAAUAAACACUAGUUGCAUGAUGAAGAUAUUCAUUUACAACUAUCAUGUGAUGUCAAGGUAAGGACACAGUAACACACACAAUGAGCUUCUUUCAGUUUCUGUCUACCAAAUCCAUUCACAAAGCUUUGGUCAGCCUAGUGUUAUGGUAAAAGACGUUUGUCCAAUGUAGCCACAUAAUGGGAUUGAAGCUAAAACCAUGUUGUUGGGAAGUAAACCUUUAGCAGCCUAUGUACCUGCCCCAUAACACAUAUAUCUUUUACUUUUUAUCUUUCAUGUUUCAGUCAUUACACUGCUGACAUGCUGGAUACCAUCUUGAAGAGUUGUUUUUUAGUGGAACAAAUUGACCUUGUACUUAUUCAUAAUCCUGGUACUUAUUCUAUAUAUAUAUAUCAUCAUUGUUAUUUAACAUCUGCUUUCUGUGCUGGCAUGAGUUAGAUGGUUUAAUUGAGAGCUAGCAGGCCAGGAGGCUGCACCAGGCUCCAGUCUGAUUUGGCAAGAUUUCUACAGCUGGAUGCACUUCCUAUCACCAACCACUCCAACAGUGUAGUGGGUGCUUUUUACAUGCCACCAGCUUGGGAGCCAGUCAGGCAGCACUGGCAUCGGCCAUGCUCAAAUGGUGCUUUUCAUGUUCUGCUGGCACGGGUGCCAGUCAGGUGGCAGUGGCAUCAGUCAGGCUUGAAUGGUGCUUUUUACAUGCCACUGGUAUCAGCCAUGCUCGAAUGGUGCUUCUUACGUGCCACAAGCACAGCUGCAAGUUAGCUGUCACUGGCAUUGGCCAUGACUACAAUUUCACUUGGUUUAACAGGUCUUCACAAGCACGGCAUAUCAGCCAACAAUUGAAGGGUGCUUUUAAAUGGGCCAGUUAUGUGACACUGGUAUCAGCCGACGGGCUUCUUUCACUUUCCAUUUACCAAAUUUACUCACAAGGUUUCGGCUGGUCUGAGGCUAUAGUAGACAACAUUUACCCAAGGUGCCACCCAGUGGGACUAACCCCAGACCCCAGAACUAUGUGGUUGGAAAUCAAAUUGCUUAUUGCACACACACACAUAUAUAUAUACACAUGUAAGUAUAUAAGUAGGUAGGUAAUUGUGUAGAAGUGCCUUUGCAGUUCCAAACAGGAGAAAAAUGUUCUUGAACAACAAUUUGACAGGUUAACUGUAAGGUUAGGAAUGUAGUAUAUAGCUUACAAUGUACUGAGGGACUGUGAAGAAACAUGACAACUACCUACAUAGGAGAGCAUAUAGGUGAAUAUUGGCGAGAGCUCAAAGACGGGUAAAGCUCAUCAGUGCUCCACCAACAUGCACAGGAAGAACAUGGAGGCUUGAUUAAUAGCGUAGAGGUUAAAGUACUAUCAACACAUAGAACUGAAACAACACUUAGACAGAUUACCAAAACCACACACAUAACAGUAGAUAGACCAAACCUCAAGAGAAAAUAUAAAUGGAACAAUAACACCCACCACCACACCACAUGACUAAAGAUAGUAGGGAUGUGAAGAGAGAGGGAAAGGGAAAAAAACUUCAAAUAAUACACAUACAUACAGAGUAUGUACACACAAUAGACAUAUAUGCACUUACCUGUGAUACUUAUGAGAAACGGAGAUAGAUGUAUAUUUUUAAAAAUAAGUAAAUGAAAAUAUUUCUGCCACAAGCCUGUGAUAAAUGUUAGACAGAUAUAGAUAUAAAUAAAUAAAACUAUAUAAAGGGCAUGGAUACAUACGAAGCAAACCUAUACACACACAUGAAACCUCAUGGACAGCCAUAUGAUGUCAACAACACAAUUAACAUGAUCAGCAGCAGCAGUGCCAAUGAGGGCAAUAACAACAACUACCAUAAUAGCAACACCAUGGACAAACACACAUAUACAGAGGAACACAGGAACUGUACGUUUCUUUUUUUUCCUUUUCUUGGGUCUUAGGACAGCAGCAGCACAAUGGGGUGAGAGGCUGGGACUGAGGGGAAGGCCACACUACUGCUAAAAACUAUACAUGCACACACACAAAUGCAGUGUAAUUUGAACUCAUAACAUAGCGACAUGAAAUAUUGCUAAGCAUUUUGCCUGGCAUGCUAACAAUUCUGCCAGCUUGCCACUUUAUAAUAAUAAUAAUGGUUACAAACUUUGCCACAAGGGCAGCAAUUUUGGGAGAGGGGCUGAGUCAAUUCCAGUGUUCAGCUGGUAUUUAUUCUAUCGACCCCAAAAGGUAAACUCGACCAUGGCAGAAUUUGAACUCAGAAUGUAGUGACAGGUGAAAUACCACUUAACAUUUCCUCUUGCAGUCUAACGAUUCUGCCAGCUUACUUGCCUUUAUAAUAAUAAUAACUUUUGGACUUUUACAACUGGCAAUAACAAUGAAGAUUGCUACAAUUGGCCUAGACACCUACCUGAAAAACUCUGAGGACUGGAUGUUAAAACUUGUCUCAAAACAUGAAAACAAGAAAGCAUCAUACUCAGUAACAAAACAGGCAAAGGAAUAUCUAAGUGAAUUCCGAAUACAACAAAUUUCGGAAUUAGACAUACAAGAAACAAGCACAGAAAAAGCUAAGCGCAUGAAAACCCAUGCUAAAACUGCUGCCUUAGAUAUUCUGAAUGAUAAAUGGCAAAUACCCAAAGAGAGUGAAUAAUGCAGAUGUUGACAAAGCCCUGACCCAUCAAUGGCUAAUGGCCUCUGGCUUAAAAUCUGAAACAGAAGGGUUUAUCAUAGCAGCUCAAGAUCAAUGCCUACCUACAAGGAACUACCAGGCCACCAACAUGUCGUGUAUGUCAACAACAAAAUGAAAUCAUUGAUCAUGUCUCCAAGUGCAGUCUUCUUGCGCCUACAGAGUAUCUCAACAGGCAUGAUAGAGCUGCACAAUAUAUUCACUGGGUAAUUUGCAAAAGCCUGGACUUGCCCCAUGAUAAAAACUGGUGGAACACAAACCGCCUCCGGUGCUUGAAAAUGACCACAUCUCACUCCUCUGGAACUUCACCAUUCAAACUGACAGAACGAUAGACACGAAUAGGCCAGACAUCAUAGUAAAAGACUUCAGACAAAAAAAAACAUGCCUCCUCAUUGAUAUGACUGUCCCAGUUGAUAUAAAUGUAUGUCAAGACCUACCAGAAACUGAGCAAAUAUAAAGAUCUUGAAAUAGAAAUGAGCAAAAUGUAGAACCUGAAGACUAAAACAAUACCUGUUGUCAUAGGUGCCUUGGGAAUGACAGCAAAAAGGGCUAAUGGCUACCUAACUCAGAUACCAGGAAACCCCAAAAUGGCAGAAAUUCAAAAGAUAGUGUUCAUGGGAACUGCUCAUAUCCUACGCAAAAUACUUUCUAUGUAAUCUCAAGUUUUAAAACAAACAAUUUUCGUAUGGUUUUUUAGGCAUUCACUAGUACAACACUAACUACAAAACCAAAUAUAUGGCACCCUAGGCAUAACACCAACAUGAACUUCCAACUUGUUAUCUCUUGAGGUCUCUGGGUGAGACUUGGAGCCAGCUUGUGCAAAUGUAAAGCAAAAGUCAAAUAUAGAAUAAUAAUAAUAAUAAUAAUCCUUUUAUGGAGGUAGGAUGAAUGACUAGAAGGAAGAGGGAGUGAUAUCAUGAAGGGACCGGAAGGUGAGAUAACAUCAGGUCAGCGAGCAACAGGUUGAAGAUGACCACUUUAUUUCGGGAUCAGUGGCAAGGCAUGUCGUGUGCUGCUAGCGGUCAUGGUGUAGUAAUGCUUGCUGGUGAGGAAUCGGCAGAGUUGACACAUGAUUACAACUGUAAGAUUUGGCUGGUUUUCCCGUGAUCUGACAUUUGGAGUUAUUGUUGCCAAUUGCAACUCGAGGUAAGAGCAACUUUAUUUUGUACCUUUAAACUACACCUUUCUACUGAAGGAACAAGGCCUCAGAUUUUCGGGGAAGGGGACUAGUCGAUUGCAUCGACCCCAGUGUUUCUCUGGUACUUAAUUUAUCAACUUCGAAAGGAUGAGUGGCAAAGUUGAUCUCGGCAGAAUCUGAACUCUGAAUGUAAAGACAGGCGAAAUGCUGCGGGUGUGUUUAGUUUAAUGGCCUAUGUAUACAGAGUUCCUUUGCCCUAGGUGUCGAGAAGACACUGAUUCAAAAACAAAAUAUACAAUAAUACUAUUAUUUUCAACGCACGAAACCGCCGUAUUAAUGUGUUUAAAGAAGUAACCCAACUGGGCUUAAUUGUCUCAACAGACUCCCUUCCCUAUACGUUAACACGAGACAUUGCACCUCAACGUUAUCUUAAGAGGAAUUUAUUUAAAAUUUAACCCGUAUUACUUUCCCAUUUUUGUAAAUCCCUAAUCUUAUCUGUAAUUGUGAGCAUUUGAUAUUUCCGUUUUGUUUUCCUUUAUAGUUUCGGGUUUAUUUUCUUUCUCUAGAACAUCCAUGAGUUAAGGUAACAAACUUCAUUUUCUUUUACUUAGCUGUCAAUGUACUCUCUCUUGGAACUGGACAGGGAAGUUAAGUUUCUCGCUUCUGUGAAAAGUGAAUAAUCAAUACUUAAUACAGGUAAUUAUUGAGGCAAAUUAUUCUUUUUCUUCUAUUAAACUGCAAAAUCUUCAAGAAUAUUAAUAUCUGACGUGAUCGAAUAUCUGGCAUGAUCGAACCGUCUUUUUUUCCGCCAGGCAUACUCGUUGUUUG